RNAcentral lists this long non-coding RNA (2370 nucleotides) under Lactuca sativa (garden lettuce). RNAcentral describes it as "long non-coding RNA (LSAT_LNC007649)". The record is from RNAcentral. Lineage: Eukaryota; Viridiplantae; Streptophyta; Magnoliopsida; Asterales; Asteraceae.
GGAAAAUUAAUAAAAUAAUGUAUUAUGUACACAAUUACAUGCAAAGUUUCUCUAUUACUUGUCAUCUAAUUGUCUUUGUCAAUAAAAUAAAUUCAUUUCUUGUAUUGAGGAAGAAAAAGUCAACGAACAGCAAACAUUUUGGUUUACAGUUGAUUCAUAACUCAAAACAGGGUUUCAAUUUUCAAUUCUUCUUUAUCAUAAUUCCUUAACAAGAAUGGAAGUAAUUGCCAUCACCAUUAUUGCUUUCAUUUUCUUGGUGUUAUUAUUAACAGUUUUGAUCACUCUCUUUUAUAAUGGAGGCAACGGUGAACACCACCGGAGGGAAUUUCACAAAAGAUCAACCACCAUGGAUCAAAGCCGGGUGCCGCCAGCUGAUCAGUGAUGGUAGGCGGCGAGUGGUGGCGGUAGAUGGCGGAUGGUGGUGGAGGAAUAUAUGAAGACUGAAGAGGCUGACAUUGAAGUCAAACUAUGAGGUAGCUUGUGUUUAUAUGUUAUUAUGUGUUUGUAUAAUUUUGAAAUUAUAUUUAAUAUUUGUAAGUAAAGUGUAAAAGUUUUGUUGAUUAAAUUUCGUAUAACAUGAUUAAAGCGACAAGAUCCCAUUAAUACGAAACAGCCAUGAAAAGUUGAAAACACAUCUUUAAAAGUAUACGCAAACGCAAUCAUCGCAUUCCAAGAAACUUAAUUUCUUUAAGACAUUUCAUCGAACACUUUCCGGGCAUUCCUGGAAUCCCAUUAUCUUUGCGUUAGAAUAUUGAUAUCCGAUUGAGUGGCGUUAAUCAUUUACUCUUCGUAUUAUCAUAAUAAAGUAUAGCGCAUUGAAGAUCAUUACCCUAAAUUCGUGGCGAUAAUCGAUAUCUUCUUAAUGAUGAUUACGAAACUAAAGUGGAGGAAACAGUUGAUUAAUCUAGAAUUACGGUUUUCCGAAUUUGAUGAUAAGGAGAGAAUUACUUACGAAUCACGAUAUAGGUUAUAUGUGACAUCUGCGUUCAAUACGAAAUAUGCUUUAUAUCAGAUUCCACUAGUUUAUAGCUUUAGAAAGCGAAAAAGCUUCAUUCAACAUCAAUGGUAGUAAACUGAAAUUCCUCCUGAUUUGAGUCCAAUAAGAUAAAAGCAUCGUCAACCCACGAUUCAUUUGUUUAUUGUUGGUAAAACGAGAGAAUAUAAUCAUAUAUCACCACCUUUUCGGAACAAGUUCUUACGUUUUUUUGGCAAUUAGAUGCUAAUGUUUUUCGGGCAUUUCAACAAGUUUGGAAAAAAAAAAAUCAAAAGCAGAAGAUGCAAAGCAUUUGAAAAAAAUGGUCGAUAGAUGCUGAUUUUGACUUGUACCUCACACUCACAAUUGCAGAUUCCCUCACGUACAUCAAGAACUUGUCCCACGAAUAAUAUUAGUUCUUGCUUUUUGAAGAACAAGUGCUAAAGUGGGGUUCUUAGCAAAAGGAUGAAGGGUAAAUCCGUAACAACCAUCGAAUCCACUUUAAGUAUGUUUUUCAAAUUAACUAAUUAUUCGCAAUAUUAAAAAAAAUGUAAGUUGCGCUAAGCAUAAUAAUAUAAUAUUAGAUAGUUGAAAAAAAUAAUUUUAAUAUGUUUGACAAGUUUGACGAAAACUACCUUAUAAGCUAUAUAAUAAUUAUAAAAUUACAUAAAUUCACAAUUAGAUGUAUAACUGAAACCAGAUUUACACCAUUUUAUUGGAGGCAAAAUGCAUUGAUGUGCCCUCCACUCUUUGUCCCUUUGGAGAUGAUGCAUGUGUUAAUUUCUUGCGAUUUAGCCUUUGAUUUAUGGGCUUUCAUAGAAAAAUGGUGUGAUAUAGAUAUUGAGAAAUUUACAAUUGUGGUCAAGGUAGUGCAAUAGAUUGAUAUCGUUCAUUUGUCUAGUUCUAAUUGUAUGGUGUUGGAGGCGAUUGUUAGACAAUGUAGAAGUUUAUUUGGAAUUUUAGAAAUUGUAUUGUUUGUAAUGAUCAUAGAUUGAGUAAUGGUUCUUUAAAAGAUUCAAUAGUUGAACAACCAUUUUCUUGGUUUAUGGAUAGGAAUAGAAAGUAAAAAAGUUAGUCCAAACAAUAAAAGUUACUAGUAUAAUCUCCGUCUCUUUAGUUGUUUUUUUUAAUCUAAGUUUAAACUUAUUAUUCGAAACAUAUGGGUUUGGUCCCAAGAAAAAGGGGGGUCUUACAUUUAUUUUUUUCAAUCCACUAAUGGCCACAUAUACGUUACUAGUAUAAUUUUCGUGUGUACUAAGACUAUACCAUGUGGUGGUGUAUUGUCAUAGGCAUCCUAGAUUCCUAUCUGGCCAACAUUGUUAGCAGUCGAUAGCAAACAGUAGGGGUGAAUAUUUGGAUCGGAUCGGACCGGUUUCGGAGAAUACUGUGGAUCAUCG